Molecule: ribosomal RNA, 330 nt
Filed under: fungal sp.
Lineage: Eukaryota; Fungi
Description: SSU rRNA
Rfam family: Eukaryotic small subunit ribosomal RNA
Source: RNAcentral
AUUAGAGUGCUCCAGGCAGGCAUAUGCUUGAAUACAUUAGCAUGGAAUAAUAGAAUAGGACGUGCGGUUCUAUUUUGUUGGUUUCUAGGACCGCCGUAAUGAUUAAUAGGGACAGUCGGGGGCAUCAGUAUUCAAUUGUCAGAGGUGAAAUUCUUGGAUUUAUUGAAGACUAACUACUGCGAAAGCAUUUGCCAAGGAUGUUUUCAUUAAUCAGGAACGAAAGUUAGGGGAUCGAAGACGAUCAGAUACCGUCGUAGUCUUAACCGUAAACUAUGCCGACUAGGGAUCGGACGAUGUUAUUAUUUGACUCGUUCGGCACCUUACGAGAAA